UCCGAGUUGACCCCGGCAGUCUCCCAUGAGUCCCCACCAUUACGUGCUGGCAACAUGGAACGAGGGUUGCGCUCGUUGCGGGACUUAACCCAACAUCUCACGACACGAGCUGACGACAGCCAUGCAGCACCUGUGUUACCGUUCCCUUUCGGGCACAUCCACCUCUCGGCAGACUUCGGUACAUGUCAAGGGUAGGUAAGGUUUUUCGCGUUGCAUCGAAUUAAUCCACAUCAUCCACCGCUUGUGCGGGUCCCCGUCAAUUCCUUUGAGUUUUAAUCUUGCGACCGUACUCCCCAGGCGGUCUACUUCACGCGUUAGCUGCGUUACCAAGUCAAUUAAGACCCGACAACUAGUAGACAUCGUUUAGGGCGUGGACUAC
Molecule: unclassified non-coding RNA, 379 nt
Filed under: uncultured Gammaproteobacteria bacterium
Lineage: Bacteria; Pseudomonadati; Pseudomonadota; Gammaproteobacteria
Description: contains 16S-23S intergenic spacer region
Source: RNAcentral